UACGAAGGGGGCUAGCGUUGUUCGGAAUCACUGGGCGUAAAGGGCGCGUAGGCGGUUGUUCAAGUCGGGGGUGAAAUCCCGUGGCUCAACCACGGAAUGGCCUUCGAUACUGGACGGCUAGAGACCGGAAGAGGUGAGUGGAACUGCGAGUGUAGAGGUGAAAUUCGUAGAUAUUCGCAAGAACACCAGUGGCGAAGGCGGCUCACUGGUCCGGUACUGACGCUGAGGUGCGAAAGCGUGGGGAGCAAACAGG
Molecule: ribosomal RNA, 253 nt
Filed under: uncultured bacterium
Lineage: Bacteria
Description: partial 16S ribosomal RNA
Rfam family: Bacterial small subunit ribosomal RNA
Source: RNAcentral